Pleuronectes platessa (European plaice) is the source of this 593-nucleotide long non-coding RNA. RefSeq lists it as uncharacterized. The record is from RefSeq and is a predicted model, not a curated record. The transcript has 2 exons. NCBI's taxonomy places the organism in Eukaryota, Metazoa, Chordata, Actinopteri, Pleuronectiformes, Pleuronectidae.
GUUAAACUUCACAACAACAAAAUUGCCGGGAAAUCUGCUCCUUGAAACCAUCUCAGGCAGUCAAUGGACUUUUUAUUUAAUUUUCAUAAAUAGUGUGUUUGUCUUGAGACCUGUGUAGAACCACAGUGUCUCUCAACAUGGGUUUUAACAUGUACGAAAUAUGACGAACUGUUCGAGAUCCAGGUUGAGUUCGAGGACCAGUUCGCAGACGAACUGGAGGUUCUGGCUCAGAUGGAGGGUAGUGGAUACCAGAGUGGCACCAAACUCCCAGGGUGCACUAGGGCUGCUGGCGGUGCCAAUAAGGGUGCUGAGAGAGGAAGAACCUGAGAGGGUGAGUAAUGCAGUGGCUGUUGUAUGUGUAUUAACUGUGGUCACAGUUGCGAAAAGUGAAUAAUACAAUAUUUUCAAUUAAACCUGAGUUUAUCUGCUGCCGAAUAAAGCUUAGUUUUCAACGAUUUGAGUCAGCUGACUCAAAACUAUGAAGACAACAAGCUUUUCUUGUCAUAAGUGAAUGUUUUUGAAUUUUACAGUAAUAAUUGAAAAAUAAUGUAUUAAUCUAUUUUAAUAAAUAUGAAAAAGAGGUUUUCAUCUAA